This is a small nucleolar RNA of Dipodomys ordii (Ord's kangaroo rat), 121 nucleotides long. The record is from Ensembl. NCBI's taxonomy places the organism in Eukaryota, Metazoa, Chordata, Mammalia, Rodentia, Heteromyidae.
UACCUCUGUGUGGCUGUGUUCUUACACUGACUGUAGAGAGAGAGGAGGCAGAGUAAACCUACCCCAUAUACACCUCAGCCCAGGCCUGUGCCUAGUCUGUAUUGUGAAUAGGGAGACAAGG